Prionailurus viverrinus (fishing cat) is the source of this 989-nucleotide long non-coding RNA. RefSeq lists it as uncharacterized. NCBI's taxonomy places the organism in Eukaryota, Metazoa, Chordata, Mammalia, Carnivora, Felidae. The record is from RefSeq and is a predicted model, not a curated record. The transcript is spliced from 5 exons.
CAACCCGAAGGCCACGGCAGAGUAGGUGUGGGGCGCUCUGUGUCGCCACGGUGUGUCACUGAGGAGCCGCACAAUCCGGGAGGGGCCGGAGGGGCUUGGCGGCCGCCCGGCGGAGCCCCUUUCUUCCCAGGGACGACAGAAGCUGGAAGCCAAGGCCGUCUUCAGUGAAUAGCAAACGUGGUCAAGUGAUCUUCGUGGAAGCUCGUCAGGAUGAAAUCUCUAGAACACUCCUGAGGAGGACGUCUGAGCCAGCACUGAAGCACCACACCCAACAGGUGGACAGUCAGCCCUGACCAGCGCUGCUCCAAACGGACUCCAUCUUUCUGCAGAAGGCACCCGCGACAGCCCUGGUCCACGGACACAGGGCCACGGAGCUCCCUGCAGCGCCGUGAGAAAGAAUCUCAGCUCGACUGUAGACGGCGCAGGGGCAGGGGCUCAGCCAGGCCAGAGCAGAGCCCCCAGCCUGGCGCUUUGCAGUCUGGAAGUUGUCCAGGUUUCGGUGUCCACAAAUGGUGUCACUUCAAGGAUUGUCAUCGCCCUUCCUCGGCCGGUAUCAGAGAAUACGCUGUAGAGAAAGUCCCACUUGUUCGGAAAGCGGCUUUGAGGCGAACCCUUAAUCUAAAACGUCAGGAGUACAUUCUCUCCCUUCAGGCGCAGUGUGAACCCUUCCGGUGCCGGCGACCGCGCGGCGGCGAGGCGCGCGCUCCGGGCGCACAAAGGGUCCCCGCGCCUCCCGCCCCCGGGCCGGCGUCCCCGCCGCCCCCGGGGUCCGCGAGCAGUGCGCGCGGUGGGACACAGGCCUGCAGGAGCCGGGGCAGCGAGAGAGCCGAAGACGACCGCCGCCGAUGGGCGCCCAGCUGCCCCCGCCGUGUGCGCGGUAACGGGGUCCCCGCCUCUCCCCCCAAAACCCGGUUCCAGGCGCAUUCUCUCCAGGCCCGGGCGCUCCCUUUUGCAACGAAACCGUUUACUCAACUGGAUUUAACCACAAC